UAUCACUUAGCGAGGAUGUUUCCAUGUCUUUGGAACUAAGGCUGCAAAUUCAUUUAAAAUGUGAGCCUUUUCUCUCUUCUCUUUUCCCCCGUUUCCUGCUUCCCUCGUCCAGGGCUCGGCAGGUCCUGUCGGCAGCCUUACUUCUUCCUAGCUGAGCUGAAGGUCGGUGGUACAGCUGCAGCUUCUGGGCCAUGUGGGUGGAGCUGCUCCUCAUUCUGCUGUGUCCUGGCCACUGCUCGCCUAGUCACGCCACAUUCGCUCUGCCUUUAGCAAAGAGGGACUUUUCCGUGCUCUCUUGUCAGGAGUGGAAGACCCACCAACCCCAGGUCAGCCUCCCGCUGGCCCCGCUCCUGCCUCCUGGAAGCUGGGAGCCUACAGUCUAAUCAGCAGGAAGAGAACAGGACUGCUGACUAAAGAAAUCCUUAUCAAAGGCGCCAUCUUAGUCACUUUCCUCGUUGCUGCGACAAAACACUUGACACCAGCCAUUUAAAGGAGAACUUCAGAAGGAUCCUUGAAACAAGCCCAUGGCCUCCCAGACUCUGUUCUAGAGGCUGAGAAGUCUACAAGCCUGGCACUGGCAUCUGUCAAAGGUCUCUGGGCUGCAUCAGAACAUGGUGAAGAGCAAGAGAGGAUCUGCAAGAUGGAGAGGAAACGGGCCAAACUCAAUCAUUUCUAGGAGCCUACUCCCGCUCCACUUUCUCCAAGGCUCUGCCUCUCUCCCCACCCCCAUACUGGGAUCGAACGCAGGUCCUGGAACUUGCAAGGCAGGCAGCAGAACCACUGAGCUAAAUCCUCAGCCUUAAGGCCCUGCCUCUUAACUCACAAUGACAAGUGAACUUCAUCUUGAGUUUUGGAGGGACGGUCAGACCAUAGCAAUCAUAAAAGGGACAGGCAGGUGAUGGUACCAGCUUAGUCACAGCAGUCAGGGGAGCUCUCUAAUGAGGCAGCACAUGGGCAAAGAGCCAGAGGAGGUGGAUGACAGUCACAGCCUGUGUGGAUAAGGCCUCCCAGGUCCUGCAGAUCUUGGCUUUGAUCUUCACCUCCAUUCUGCUGGAUGGUAGGUAAGCUUCCAUGAUCUUGGCUUAUGGAUAAGAAGCAGGGUUUCAGAGGAGUGAUCUGACAUGAAGGAGAGUCUAAAGCCAGGAUGUCCAACAGAGUCCAGAGUUCCCUAUGUAGAACCAACAGGUUUUGUCCCAGAGCCUUGGUCUCUGGAGAUCCAAAGCUCACAAUGACACAGCACUUAAACUGCCUCUUCCUCUGCCCUCCACAAGCUGCCUAGCAUCCUGACAAGACUCCUGGGACUCUAAAUGCUAGCCCCUGGGUGUGAAUCUCAAGUCUGCUCUUAGUAGCUGUGUAUGACUUCAGGUAAGCUGCUUGACCUCUCUGGUAAGCUGCUUCCUCAUGUGUAAAGUGGGGCUUUCACAGAAACUACUCUGAGAGCUGAAG
Molecule: long non-coding RNA, 1446 nt
Organism: Fukomys damarensis (Damara mole-rat)
Lineage: Eukaryota; Metazoa; Chordata; Mammalia; Rodentia; Bathyergidae
Exons: 4
Source: RefSeq, a predicted model, not a curated record